RNAcentral lists this ribosomal RNA (683 nucleotides) under uncultured Lachnospiraceae bacterium. RNAcentral describes it as "bacterial SSU rRNA". It matches the Rfam family "Bacterial small subunit ribosomal RNA", at positions 30 to 726 of the family's 1533-position model. The record is from RNAcentral. Lineage: Bacteria; Bacillati; Bacillota; Clostridia; Lachnospirales; Lachnospiraceae.
CGAACGCUGGCGGCGCGCCUAACACAUGCAAGUCGAACGAGCGAGAGAGAGUUUACUUUUUCGAGCGAGUGGCGAACGGGUGAGUAACGCGUGAGGAACCUGCCUCAAAGAGGGGGACAACAGUUGGAAACGACUGCUAAUACCGCAUAAGCCCACGACCCGGCAUCGGGUAGAGGGAAAAGGAGCAAUCCGCUUUGAGAUGGCCUCGCGUCCGAUUAGCUAGUUGGUGAGGUAAUGGCCCACCAAGGCGACGAUCGGUAGCCGGACUGAGAGGUUGAACGGCCACAUUGGGACUGAGACACGGCCCAGACUCCUACGGGAGGCAGCAGUGGGGAAUAUUGCACAAUGGGGGAAACCCUGAUGCAGCGACGCCGCGUGGAGGAAGAAGGUCUUCGGAUUGUAAACUCCUGUUGUUGAGGAAGAUAAUGACGGUACUCAACAAGGAAGUGACGGCUAACUACGUGCCAGCAGCCGCGGUAAAACGUAGGUCACAAGCGUUGUCCGGAAUUACUGGGUGUAAAGGGAGCGCAGGCGGGAAGACAAGUUGGAAGUGAAAUCCAUGGGCUCAACCCAUGAACUGCUUUCAAAACUGUUUUUCUUGAGUAGUGCAGAGGUAGGCGGAAUUCCCGGUGUAGCGGUGGAAUGCGUAGAUAUCGGGAGGAACACCAGUGGCGAAGGCGGCC